AGGUGCUUUGUAGCAAUACGAAGUAUCCUAGUGGCGAACGGGUGAGUAACGCGUUGGUGACCUACCCCAAAGUGUGGGAUAACAGUCCGAAAGGAUUGCUAAUACCGCAUGUGGUCUCUGGAUUUAGAAACCGGUGACUAAAGGAGCAAUUCGCUUUGGGAGGGACCUGCGUCCCAUCAGCUAGUUGGUGAGGUAACGGCUCACCAAGGCGACGACGGGUAGGGGACCUGAGAGGGUGACCCCCCACAAUGGAACUGAAACACGGUCCAUACACCUACGGGUGGCAGCAGUAGGGAAUAUUGGUCAAUGGGCGAAAGCCUGAACCAGCAACACCGCGUGUGCGAUGAAGGCCUUCGGGUCGUAAAGCACUUUUCUGGGAGAUGAGAAAGGACAGUAUCCCAGGAAUAAGUCUCGGCUAACUACGUGCCAGCAGCCGCGGUAAAACGUAGGAGGCGAGCGUUAUCCGGAUUCACUGGGCGUAAAGCGCGUGCAGGUGGCUUGGUAAGUUAGGCGUGAAAUCUCCCGGCUCAACUGGGAGAGGUCGUCUAAUACUACCGGGCUUGAGAGCAGAAGAGGAAGAUGGAAUUCCCGGUGUAGUGGUGAAAUGCGUAGAUAUCGGGAGGAACACCAGUGGCGAAGGCGAUCUUCUGGUCUGUUUCUGACACUCAGACGCGACAGCUAGGGUAGUAAACGGGAUUAGAGACCCCGGUAAUCCUAGCCGUAAACGAUGUAAA
RNAcentral lists this ribosomal RNA (734 nucleotides) under uncultured Chloroflexus sp. RNAcentral describes it as "bacterial SSU rRNA". It matches the Rfam family "Bacterial small subunit ribosomal RNA", at positions 68 to 815 of the family's 1533-position model. The record is from RNAcentral. Lineage: Bacteria; Bacillati; Chloroflexota; Chloroflexia; Chloroflexales; Chloroflexaceae.